CGGGAAACCCUGUCUCUACUAAAAAUACAAAAAUUAGCCAGGCGUGGUGGCAGUCACAUGCAGUCCCAGCUACUUGGGAGACUGAGGCAGGAGAAUGGCUUGAACCCGAGAAGUGGAGGUUGCAGUGAGCCAAGAUAGCACCACUGCACUCCAGCCUGGGUGACAGAGCGGGACUCCAUCUCAAAAAAAAAAAAAAAAAUCUGGGAAGUGUUACUUCCUCUUCCAUUUGGGGGAAGUGUUGUGUAGAACUGGUGUGAUUUUUUCCUGACUUCUUGUUUUUCAGAAUUCACAAGUAAAAACCUGUGUCUCUGUGGUUUCCCUUUGGAGAAGGUUUACAAUUUAUUUCUUUAAUAGAUAAUCAAGCUCUCCAGAACUUAUGUUUAUUCUUCAGCCAUGUCUUACAUUGUUAGACAUUUAUACAAUUUAUUAAUACUGUCACAGAAAUUUUUCUAUUGUUGUUUUAUUGUAUUUUUUCUAUUAGUUUUUUUACACCAUCAACUUAUAGCUCAUAUUUUAUCAUUGAUUUUUUUCACUCCUUUAAGUUGCUUUUCUAUCUGCUUAUGUUCAAAAGUCAGAUUACCAAUCUUAAAUUUUCUUCUUUUCUAAUAUAAGCAAUUAAAGCUAUAAGAUUUCCUCCAAGCCCGAUUUAUCUGCAUCCCCAAAAUGUUACAUAUGCUCAAGAGAUUAAAAGAAAAGACAUCGGAAUAAUUAGAGAAACCAUGGCCUUGAGGAGGACGUGCAUGGAGAGGUUCCACAAAGGAAAGCAAACAGCAAAAAACGAUCGACUGGACUCUUAGAUUCUAGCGCCCUGAUCCCACCUGGACCUCAGCUUGACCGCCGCCCUUGGCAACUCCUGGGGAGGAGACAGCACCUCCUGUGCUCCCCUCGGCUCCACCCUUCGGAGGCAGCGACAUCCACACAAGUGGAGAAAUGGCUCCUUGGGAACCACUUGGCACUGGCAGGAAAUUGCAUGUUUAGAAUAAAUGCUAUAUAUUAAAGUUACUUAGAAAGUUGUCAGGAGAACGGAGGCCUGAGAGGGGGGUGUUCUGGGGCAGGUGUGCUGUCGCUGGGGCUUGCUAUUUCUUUGUUCCUUGUUUGCCUUUGAGCCCAUGUGAAAUUCCCGGCGGGGGAAGAGAGGCUGAGCUCCCCGCCUGCCCCUGCCUCAGCACUGGCCCUGGGCUGGCCUCCUCCAGGUCCCAUCCCCAGCCUGCAGCCUACACACUCUGUCUGGGUCCCUCUUCACAAAGCAACCCUGGAAAGGCGGGCACUAGGGAACUCAGCCUCCCAACGGCCCCAGGGGCGUGAAGCUGCCUCCAUGUGCCUUUAACGUCCAUGUCCCAGCCUGACAGACACAGAUGCGUACUCCCAUUUGUUCUCUAGGUCAUAACUAUAAUCACCACUGCUUUGCUAAUUAAUGCAAAUUGCAAGCGUUCCUAUUGGAAACAAGCGUUCUGGCUUUUUUCAGUGGCCAUCCAUCUUCCAGGUUUGCCUCUGUGACCUCCCAGGGCUGCGGACAAUUCUCCCAGGGGGUAGCAGCCAUCCAUCCGCCCUCUCCCUGCCCGGGAGCUGAGGCAGCGACCAUCCAUCUGCCCUCUCCCUGCCGGGGAGAGGGAGUUGGGGCAGCGGCUGUCCAUCCACCCUCUCCCUGUCUGGGAAGGUCACCAGUACUGCCCCAUCAUGAGAAAUGCCGGGGAGCUGAGGCAGUGGCCAUCCAUCCGCCCUCUCCCUGCCGGGAAGCUGAGGCAGUGGCUGUCCAUCCACCCUCUCCCUGCUGGGGAAGGUCACCAGUACUACUCCAUCAUGAGAAAUGCCAGGGAGCUGAGGCAGCAGCUGUCCAUCCACCCUCUCCCUGCUGGGGAAGGUCACCAGUACUGCCCCACCAUGAGAAAUGCCGGGGAGCUGAGGCAGCGGCCGUCCAUCCGCCCUCUCCCUGCCGGGAAGCAGAGGCAGUGGCUGUCCAUCCGCCCUCUCCCUGCUGGGGAAGGUCACCAGUACUGCCCCAUCAUGAGAAAUGCCGGGGAGUUGAGAGGGUGAAAGCCAAUGGGAUGGACUUGGGUGGCCUCUCCACAGGUGUCCCGCACCUGGGGUCUUGGAUCUAAGCGGGGGCACCAGGCCUUCCUCAGUUUCUGUGGAUUGGCGCUGCACACAGGGGCUGACAUCUCCAAGGGCUCAGGGCCAGUAGAGGGUGGUGGUUGGUCAGCCACCGUGGGGGAGGACGGAAGACGAAGGCUGGACGAGAAUCGUUUUGCAGCUCAGCAUCAGGGAAGAGCUGGCUCCUGCUCGCCCAACCCCCUGCUAGCCUCCUGGCCGUGGGUACGUCCUCAGUCCUCAGCACCGGCCAGGAGUGAGCCGGCGGCACUGCUGGAGGGCUCAGGGCACAGCUGAGUCCGUGUCAUUCUCAUCCUCAGAGGUCCUCAGAUGAGCCGUUCUCCACGUCUGUGACCAUCCUCACGGGGCAGAUGAGGAAGCUGAGACGCAGACCCCAGGACGGAUGAGAAAGAAUCCAGUUCUUGGCUUUGUGGCUGGCGCACUGGUGUCCUCCAGGCACUUCAGGAAGCCGGAGAACAAAUCACAAAUCCACCUCCCACCUGGAUCUGUCCCGGCAACCCUGGUCCUCAGACAGGCUGAGGCGGGCAGAGCUCGCCCGAGGCAGCCUCAGGAAGAGGGAAACUGGGCACAUCCUCCCCAGCCCCGCUCUCUAGGGCAGUGUGGCCGCCAGGUGGCACAACCGGCUGAAGCUGUCCUCGUCACAGGAGCUUGGAGCCCCAUCCCACAGCCUCCUCACACGUCCCCCAUGGGAGCUGCUCCUGUCCUAAUAACCUGCACCAAUAACCAAGCGAGAACAAGGAGAAGUGACACCUGCAGAGUGUGCUGAGGGCAUCGCACUGGGAUGGUCGUCGCCCUUCCGUGAAGUCCCAUGGAGGUUCCCAUGAGGCGAGCCUGGCGGGUUUGGGAUGGUCCCAGAGUGGAAGGGCUUCUGUGUUUGGGUUUUGUUGGGCUUUGACUGAUGACUACAAUUCACUCGUUAAAGGCUGAAUCUAGAGAAGGGAUUCCGGCAAAGCCCACGUGCGUUUGGCAGGGCAGCGGGUGGGUCAGUGAAGCCCAGAGGGGCAAUGGGUCAGAGGCCUCCACAGCUCUGUGAUGUGCUUUUAUUUCAGCAACUGUGUUUUUGUUCCCAUGAUCUUUCAUUGGCUUUUUUCAAAGUUACUUGUUCUUGUUUCGUGGAUGGAGUGCAAUUAUAGUGACCACAUUUCAGGCACUAUUCUAAGUGCUGUGCAGAUAACUAUCAACUCACUCGACCCUCAGGAAACCAUGCAUUAGAAUCCAUUACCAGAACUUGGCUGGGCACAGUGGCUCAUGCCUGUAAUCCCAGCAGUUUGGGAGGCCGAGGCAGGCAGAUCACCUGAGGUCAGGAGUUUGAGACCAGCCUGGCCAACAUGCCAAAACCCCAUUUCAACCAGAAAUACAAAAAAUUAGCCAGGCGUGGUGGCGGUCGCCUGUAAUCCCAGCUACUUGAGAAGCCGAGGCAGGAGAAUCGCUUGAACCCGGGAGGCAGAAGUUGCAGUGAGCUGAUAUCGCGCCAUUGCACUCCAGCUAGGGCAACAAGUGAAACUCCAUCUCAAAAAAAAAAAAAAAAAAAGAAUCCAUUACCAGAACUUUAGACUCAAGGAAACAGACACAGGCGAGUGAACUGGAUUUUCUGAGUCAGGAGAGGCCUUUCCUCCUCGUUCUGGGGGCACCGAUUACAAUUCCCUUAAGAUGCUUCAGCAGAAAUGUCCCGCCUUAAACAGAGGUGCCCAGGGGUAUAAAUUCCCUUUUUAAUUUGAUGUGUGCAAUUUAUCAUCGCAGGAUUUCUCACAAAACCCUCGGUCUGUCAAGAACCCCCUUCUUUGCUGUAAGCACAGUCAUGUAUACGCACCUUACAGGCUUCCGAGAGCUGCCUGUCAUGUCAGGAAUACAGACAUGGGAGGGAAAGCCUGCAGCGCCCACAUGGACUCAAGUCAGGUGACAUCAAUUCCUUUAGCGGAGUGUCUGCAGGAAUUGGCCCCACUG
Molecule: long non-coding RNA, 4053 nt
Filed under: Homo sapiens (human)
Lineage: Eukaryota; Metazoa; Chordata; Mammalia; Primates; Hominidae
Description: HSALNT0406690
Source: RNAcentral